This 441-nucleotide ribosomal RNA is filed under the name uncultured bacterium. RNAcentral describes it as "partial 16S ribosomal RNA". It matches the Rfam family "Bacterial small subunit ribosomal RNA", at positions 338 to 795 of the family's 1533-position model. The record is from RNAcentral.
CCUACGGGUGGCAGCAGUGGGGAAUAUUGGGCAAUGGGCGAAAGCCUGACCCAGCAACGCCGCGUGAAGGAAGAAGGCUUUCGGGUUGUAAACUUCUUUUGACAGGGAAGAGCAGAAGACGGUACCUGUCGAAUAAGCCACGGCUAACUACGUGCCAGCAGCCGCGGUAAUACGUAGGUGGCAGGCGUUGUCCGGAUUUACUGGGUGUAAAGGGCGGGUAGCGGGGCGGAAAAGUCAGAGGUAAAAUCCGGGGCUCAACCCCCGAACUGCAUGUGAAACUGGUGGUCGUGAGUAUUGGAGAGGCAGGUGGAAUUCCUGGUGUAGCGGUGAAAUGCGUAGAUAUUAGGAGGAACACCAGUGGCGAAGGCGACCUGCUGGACGACAACUGACGCUGAGGCGCGAAAGCGUGGGGAGCAAACAGGAUUAGAUACCCCAGUAGUC